Microcebus murinus (gray mouse lemur) is the source of this 478-nucleotide non-coding RNA. NCBI's taxonomy places the organism in Eukaryota, Metazoa, Chordata, Mammalia, Primates, Cheirogaleidae. The record is from RefSeq and is a predicted model, not a curated record.
GCUCUGCAUGUCUCCUAGUUCUGAGUCACACCUGGUUUGUGAAUCGCUCUUGACUCAGAUAAACUCUGCUAAAUUUCAUCUGUCUAAUGUUUUUCUGUUAACAGUUCAGCAUCAGAAGUGGGAUUUGAAGUCCCCAGUGACCCCCAGGAGCACAAAGUGACCAAGUGAAGGUGCCUACCAGGCCCAGUGUCCCCACUGCUCUCUCACGGCAACUCGGGUGGUAGGGACCUUGUCUCAUGAUUCUUAACAUCAUUCCCCUGGAUAACUCAUUGGAGAUCCCAGCUGACUUUCUAAGGGAAUGGCAGAGCCACAAGAUGGAAGGAGCCUGGGUUCCUGAAUAAACUGGCCGAGAAGAGCCACACUGCCAACAUGAACACUCACCCUGGACAGUUAUUGAGCAAGAAAUGAACUUCUGUGAUGAGUCAUUACAUUCCUGGGUCUCUUUCUUAGAGCAGCUAUCCUCCCAUAACUUAUUCAC